AAUAUUUCACAAUGGGGGAAACCCUGAUGCAGCGACGCCGCGUGAGGGAAGAAGGCUUUCGGUUUGUCAAGCUCUAUCAGCAGGGAAGAAAAUGACGGUACCUGACUAAGAAGCCACGGCUAACUACGUGCCAGCACACGCGGUAAUACGUAGGGGGCAAGCGUUAUCCGGAUUUACUGGGUGUAAAGGGGGCGUAGGGGGGUCGGUAAGUCAGGUGGGAAAGCCCGGGGCUCAACCCCGGGAUUGCACUUGAAACUAGCGAACUUGAGUGCAGGAGAGGUAAGUGGAAUUCCUAGUGUAGCGGUGAAAUGCGUAGAUAUUAGGAGGAACACCAGUGGCGAAGGCGGCUUACUGGACUGUAACUGACACUGAGGCUCGAAAGCGUGGGGAGCAAACAGG
Molecule: ribosomal RNA, 399 nt
Filed under: uncultured bacterium
Lineage: Bacteria
Description: partial 16S ribosomal RNA
Rfam family: Bacterial small subunit ribosomal RNA
Source: RNAcentral